GAGGCAGAGGAUUCAGGUGACAGUGAUGCUGAACUGGACAGUGAUGGACUCAAAGGAGAGCGGGAGUUGGGAGACAAUAUGAUGGAGAAAAGAGCUGACAUGGAUUCUGAAGUGGUCCUGACACAGUCCAUGGUAGUGAAGAAGGAUGCCCUGUCCAAAAGAUACUACAGAAGUAAGUGUGUGUCUCUCUGGAGCUGGCUCCUGGUUUGGGUGAACUGCAUGGAUUGUAGACUGAAGGUCAAUUGAUUGAAGACAUUGAGAAACACUUCAGUAUUACAACAUAUUCUACCAUGGAGUGGUUUCAUAGUUGUGGACAGACUGGAGGAAACACUUUGAAAUGUGCCCCUUGGUGUCUUCAUUAAGCCUGUAACAGCUAUCAAAAUCAACUGAUAUUCUCAGAGGAACAGAAAACAUUCCAGUAAAUGGAACUCAAACAUGAAUAUAAAGUGAACUAUUAAAUCCAAUAACCACUGUUUCUGUUUUUCUUUUUCUUUGGAACAGCUUACUGUUGUAAGUAUUUUAUUUUAUUAUGGUACAUUAAUAUGUAGAAAUGAAUUGUAUAUAUUUUUAAAUUGUAUUU
This is a long non-coding RNA of Acipenser ruthenus (sterlet), 580 nucleotides long. RefSeq lists it as uncharacterized. Lineage: Eukaryota; Metazoa; Chordata; Actinopteri; Acipenseriformes; Acipenseridae. The transcript has 3 exons. The record is from RefSeq and is a predicted model, not a curated record.